CUACACAGCCAUAUCACCCUGCAGCCCAAGACUGGUUACUCACUGAAGCUAAGCAAGGCUGAGCCUGGUUAGUACCUGGAUGGGAGACCACUAGGGAACACUAGGUUGCUGUUGGAA
This 117-nucleotide ribosomal RNA is filed under the name Danio rerio (zebrafish). Lineage: Eukaryota; Metazoa; Chordata; Actinopteri; Cypriniformes; Danionidae. The record is from RNAcentral.